Molecule: transfer RNA, 74 nt
Filed under: Diaemus youngi
Lineage: Eukaryota; Metazoa; Chordata; Mammalia; Chiroptera; Phyllostomidae
Description: tRNA-Asn
Source: RNAcentral
UAGAUUGAAGCCAGUUGACUAGGGUAUUUAGCUGUUAACUAAAUUUUCGUGGGUUGAAAGCCCAUCAAUCUAGA